UGGGGAAUUGUUCACAAUGGGCGCAAGCCUGAUGACGCAACGCCGCGUGGAGGAUGAAGGUCUUCGGAUUGUAAACUCCUGUUGCCCGGGACGAAAAGCUUCGACCUAACACGUCGAAGUCUGACGGUACCGGGUGAGGAAGCCCCGGCUAACUCUGUGCCAGCAGCCGCGGUAAUACAGAGGGGGCAAGCGUUGUUCGGAAUUACUGGGCGUAAAGGGCGCGUAGGCGGCGUGCUAAGUCGAACGUGAAAUCCCCGGGCUCAACCCGGGAACUGCGUCCGAGACUGGCAUGCUUGAAUCCGGGAGAGGGAUGUGGAAUUCCAGGUGUAGCGGUGAAAUGCGUAGAUAUCUGGAGGAACAUCGGUGGCGAAGGCGGCAUCCUGGACCGGUAUUGACGCUGAGGCGCGAAAGCCAGGGGAGCAAACGGG
RNAcentral lists this ribosomal RNA (428 nucleotides) under uncultured bacterium. Its description in RNAcentral is "bacterial SSU rRNA". It matches the Rfam family "Bacterial small subunit ribosomal RNA", at positions 355 to 776 of the family's 1533-position model. The record is from RNAcentral.